GACGAACGCUGGCGGCGUGCUUAACACAUGCAAGUCGAACGAGUGGCGAACGGGUGAGUAAUACGUGAGUAACCUGCCCUCUUUUUGGGAUAAGCCUUGGAAACGGGGUCUAAUACCGGAUAAAGGGGGGUGGGCUCGCGGCCUGUAAGCUGGUUGGGGGGGUGAUGGCCUACCAAGGCGGUGACGGGUUGCCGGCCUGAGAGGGUGACCGGGAACUGUGAGACGGUGAUACGGCCCAGAGUCGUCCGGGAUGGAGCAGUGGGGGAUAUUGGACAAUGGGUGAAAGCCUGAUGCAGCGAGGCCGCGGGGGGGAUUAAGGCUUUCGGGUUGUAAAAGUUGUUCGCUAGCGAAGGGGUAGGUGGAGAAGAAGCACCGGCUAACUACGUGCCAGCAGCCGCGGUAAUAC
RNAcentral lists this ribosomal RNA (406 nucleotides) under uncultured bacterium. RNAcentral describes it as "partial 16S ribosomal RNA". It matches the Rfam family "Bacterial small subunit ribosomal RNA", at positions 28 to 526 of the family's 1533-position model. The record is from RNAcentral.